CAAAAACAUGUCUUUUUGAUUAUAAUUUAAAGUCUUGCCUGCCCAAUGAUUAAUUUAAUGGCCGCAGUAUUUUGACUGUGCAAAGGUAGCAUAAUCAUUAGUUUUUUAAUUGAAAGCUGGAAUGAAUGGUUUGAUGAGAAAUAGACUGUCUCUUUAUAAAUUUUUUAGAAUUUUAAUUUUAAGUGAAAAAGCUUAAAUUUAUUAUAAAGACGAGAAGACCCUAUAGAGUUUUAUUGUUUUGUUAAUAAAUUGUUUUUGGUUUUAAUAUUUUUUUAUUGAUUUAAUAAUUUUGUUGGGGUGAUGUAAAAACUUAAUUAACUUUUUAUUUAUUUUUACACUAAUGAGUGUGUUUUUGAUCCUUUAUUUAAGAUUAUAAGAAAAAAUUACCUUAGGGAUAACAGCGUAAUUUUUUUGGAAAGUUCUUAUUUAUAAAAAAGUUUGCGACCUCGAUGUUGGAUUAAAAUUAAUUUUUGGUGUAGAAGCUGAAAUAUUAGGUCUGUUCGACCUUUAAAAUUUUACAUGAUCU
This 526-nucleotide ribosomal RNA is filed under the name Cymbeba annulipes. Its description in RNAcentral is "partial 16S ribosomal RNA". It matches the Rfam family "Bacterial large subunit ribosomal RNA", at positions 1808 to 2606 of the family's 2925-position model. The record is from RNAcentral. Lineage: Eukaryota; Metazoa; Arthropoda; Insecta; Coleoptera; Tenebrionidae.